Long non-coding RNA from Hippoglossus stenolepis (Pacific halibut), 839 nucleotides. RefSeq lists it as uncharacterized. The record is from RefSeq and is a predicted model, not a curated record. NCBI's taxonomy places the organism in Eukaryota, Metazoa, Chordata, Actinopteri, Pleuronectiformes, Pleuronectidae. The transcript has 2 exons.
CUGAAGGUGUCCGCUUCAUUUGAGACUUCUACUCGCUGCACACGAUGACAAGAGAACCGAGUGUAAGCGAGCACUAAGACGAAUACAGUCUGGUGCACUAAUGGAUGCAACACAUAUGUUUGGAGUCUGUUUUAACCAAAUCUUGAUAUCCCGCGUUGCUUUGGAUUUCUGAGAUGCAAGCUCUGGCUGUGCAUGUCGCUGUGAGAGAGAGAGAGAAUCAGCAGGAACCUCAGCAGGAAGCCCCGUCUCUGUUCUGUGAUGCACUCAACAGAUACACUUGCUCCCACUUUCCCUGUUUCUUCCCUCUUCACUGGAGGGAUCAGUGUGUACAGAGGUAUCCCUACAUCCUUCCAUGUUCUCCAAACAGCAUGCACGGAGACGAAAGUAUACAUAGGGAUAAAGUUAAGGUUUUUAAAAGGUACUUGUAACUGUACUUUUAUUACAUUUCAGUGAAAAUGAACUUAUCACACAGCUCUAGAUACUGUUAAUGAUACAAGUAUUUCAUAUCGAAUAUCAUAAUUCCAAUAGGCCUCUGCAGGUUAUUCCCAGAUCUCGACUGGUAACAGGGAACAUCCUGGGUGUCUUUUAUAUCACUUCUUGGUUUUGUUUUAAAUCAGAAAUCUUCUACAAAUGUUUGAGAUAUAUUUUAUUUUUUGUGUACUUUUUUUAUUCUACUUCUACUAUAAACUGUUCAUAUUUUGUGUUACUUUAAGUUCUAUACAUUUUUUUGCGUUUGUUAAGCACUUUGUAACUUUGUUAAGAAAUGUGCCACGAGUUUAUUAUCAUUAUUAUAUAAAAACCAAAUGGGGCAUAGGAAAUUAAAAUUGCUAAUGCUUUAA